UACGGGGGGUGCGAGCGUUAAUCGGAAUUACUGGGCGUAAAGGGUUCGUAGGUGGUAUGUUAAGUCAGAUGUGAAAGCCCAGGGCUCAACCUUGGAACUGCAUUUGAUACUGGCAAGCUAGAGUUUUGUAGAGGGUAGUGGAAUUUCCAGUGUAGCGGUGAAAUGCGUAGAGAUUGGAAGGAACACCAAUGGCGAAGGCAACAUUCUGGACCAAUACUGACACUGAGGGACGAAAGCGUGGGGAUCAAAC
This 250-nucleotide ribosomal RNA is filed under the name uncultured bacterium. Its description in RNAcentral is "partial 16S ribosomal RNA". It matches the Rfam family "Bacterial small subunit ribosomal RNA", at positions 524 to 773 of the family's 1533-position model. The record is from RNAcentral.